Molecule: long non-coding RNA, 1351 nt
Organism: Larimichthys crocea (large yellow croaker)
Lineage: Eukaryota; Metazoa; Chordata; Actinopteri; Sciaenidae
Exons: 3
Source: RefSeq, a predicted model, not a curated record
UGAGGAAAAGGAAGCUAUAACAAGGAGCCUCCUCCCCCCCCAGUUUGGCUGUCACACCUUUUCUUUUUGGGCAUCCAGCUAAAAAAUCCCUUCUUCUUCUUCUUUUUCUUCUCCUCUGUCUGUGUCCCUGGCGUGACAACUGUUCCCUCAUUGCUCUUAAUGUCUUCUUGACUCCUCUCAGAGUCCUGUUGUUGGAAGCGUUGGUUCUACUACAGUGGAUGGAAUAUGUUGAUUUGCUCACUUAAUUUUCAGCACUUGCAAGUUUGUCUUUAGUCAGUCACGAGAAUAGUAAAUCAGGGGGUGAUGUAAAAUGUCUGUGGGUUGCAGCACAUGUAGGGGCAAAGGGAAAUAUGUUGGUAGAUGAGUUGGCCGAGAAGGCUAUAAAGAAAGGUGAGAUAGAAAUGCAAAUUAGUAUCAGUAGAGCAAAGGUUACAUGUGUAAAGUUACUGGGAUAGUAAGUGGACAAAGUGUCAGGAAAAAGGUGGAAUAGGGUGCUUGGGUGGCUGACGGGAUAGGAACUGAACUGGACUGUCCGCUUUCUGGUCUUUUUGAAGGGAUUUACAGUCUGUCUAUUGACAGCUCACACUCCGGGCAGAGGGUGGCGGUAAUGCACCAAUAAGCCGCCGUCAAACAAGAAGAAUUAGUAAACAAGGAGCUCUUCAUUCGUCCAGAGAGGAAUGAUGAUGAUGAUGAUGAAAGAUUGUCAGAAACUAAAAACGGGUCGUGUUUAAAUGUUUCUUUCGUCGUUAGAUUUUGACACCGAGGCUUUGAAACAAGCUAAUCACAAAUAUACGGGUUUUUUUUUUCGUUUUGGAAUUACACAUGAAUUACGGAUUAUCCCAUGCUACUUGUUACAUAGUUUAUUUUUGUGCGUCCAUUAAAUCCUCAGAGAAACAUUUUUUUUUCCCACAGAUAAUGUAACAUUAACUUACUAGUGUUGUUGUAUCAAAGGCUCCACAGUAGGCCUCACGCUAUGCCUCGGUCUACAGUUGGCCUGUGAAUCCGCCAAAACAGUACUUGGAUCCAGCGACGUGUCGGCGAAGCAGCAGCGGGCUUUAGCUACCUCUUGUGAAAAAGGGCUGGCUUACAGACAUGCACCCGCCACCUCGACAGGAUUAUGUAUCUAUAAGUUUAGCUGGACAGGGAAGUGGAAGCUACAAUAACAGUAAACAGUGGAGGAGGCAGUCCUGCUGGAGGAAAUGGAAGCAGCUGUCCAGGCUGCAGCGGAGCCUCAUCCUCUUCGUCCUUGUUCUUCUGUUCAUUUGUGGAAUUGCUUCGUAUCCCGCUGUUACGGAGCACCUUAGCAGUAAGACUCUAAUACAUUUAACAUCACCUAUGCUAUCCCAUCACU